Long non-coding RNA from Zea mays, 154 nucleotides. RefSeq lists it as uncharacterized. NCBI's taxonomy places the organism in Eukaryota, Viridiplantae, Streptophyta, Magnoliopsida, Poales, Poaceae. The record is from RefSeq and is a predicted model, not a curated record. The transcript has 2 exons.
GUUUUUCAGGCAAUACUUGGUAAUACUCGAGCAUCAGAGAUCAUAAAGCUUGCUCCUUUUUGGCUCCAUUUACCAGUCGAGUCAAAAUAUUCACUUCCCAAUUAACGUGUUCUAGACAAUCAACAUCACAUUCUGCAUUGACAAGACAGCGGUU